Molecule: ribosomal RNA, 497 nt
Filed under: uncultured bacterium
Lineage: Bacteria
Description: partial 16S ribosomal RNA
Rfam family: Bacterial small subunit ribosomal RNA
Source: RNAcentral
GAUGAACGCUGGCGGCGUGCCUAAUACAUGCAAGUCGAGCGAACAGACGAGGAGCUUGCUCCUCUGACGUUAGCGGCGGACGGGUGAGUAACACGUGGAUAACCUACCUAUAAGACUGGGAUAACUUCGGGAAACCGGAGCUAAUACCGGAUAAUAUAUUGAACCGCAUGGUUCAAUAGUGAAAGACGGUUUUGCUGUCACUUAUAGCUGGAUCCGCGCCGCAUUAGCUAGUCGGUAAGGUAACGGCUUACCAAGGCAACGAUGCGUAGCCGACCUGAGAGGGUGAUCGGCCACACUGGAACUGAGACACGGUCCAGACUCCUACGGGAGGCAGCAGUAGGGAAUCUUCCGCAAUGGGCGAAAGCCUGACGGAGCAACGCCGCGUGAGUGAUGAAGGUCUUCGGAUCGUAAAACUCUGUUAUUAGGGAAGAACAAAUGUGUAAGUAACUAUGCACGUCUUGACGGUACCUAAUCAGAAAGCCACGGCUAACUACGUG